Papaver somniferum (opium poppy) is the source of this 137-nucleotide long non-coding RNA. RefSeq lists it as uncharacterized. The transcript is spliced from 3 exons. Lineage: Eukaryota; Viridiplantae; Streptophyta; Magnoliopsida; Ranunculales; Papaveraceae. The record is from RefSeq and is a predicted model, not a curated record.
GAGGAGGGAUAAGGAGAUUUGAAGAAGUUGAACAGAGGUCGGUGUGGAUCUUGCUGUGCGAAAAUCCUCAAGGGCUGAAGACUGGUGCUUGUAACUCUGCAGCAGGAUCUGCAAACACGGAGUUUGGAAAUACCAAG